RNAcentral lists this ribosomal RNA (450 nucleotides) under uncultured Glomeromycotina. RNAcentral's name for it is "SSU rRNA". It matches the Rfam family "Eukaryotic small subunit ribosomal RNA", at positions 569 to 1024 of the family's 1831-position model. The record is from RNAcentral. Lineage: Eukaryota; Fungi; Glomeromycota.
AGCAGCCGCGGUAAUUCCAGCUCCAAUAGCGUAUAUUAAAGUUGCUGCAGUUAAAAAGCUCGUAGUUGAAUUUCGGGAUCAGUACGCCGGUCGUGCCUCGGUAUGUACUGGUGUUACUGGUUCCUACCUUCUGACGAACCGUCAUGUCAUUAAUUUGGUGUGGCGGGGAAUCAGGACUGUUACUUUGAAAAAAUUAGAGUGUUUAAAGCAGGCUCGCGCUUGAAUACAUUAGCAUGGAAUAAUGAAAUAGGACGUUCGAUCCUAUUUUGUUGGUUUCUAGGAUUGACGUAAUGAUUAAUAGGGAUAGUUGGGGGCAUUAGUAUUCAAUUGUCAGAGGUGAAAUUCUUGGAUUUAUUGAAGACUAACUACUGCGAAAGCAUUUGCCAAGGAUGUUUUCAUUAAUCAAGAACGAAAGUUAGGGGAUCGAAGACGAUCAGAUACCGUCGUAGU